RNAcentral lists this ribosomal RNA (471 nucleotides) under uncultured bacterium. RNAcentral describes it as "bacterial SSU rRNA". It matches the Rfam family "Bacterial small subunit ribosomal RNA", at positions 75 to 520 of the family's 1533-position model. The record is from RNAcentral.
CUGCUUCGGUGGGUGAGUAAAGUGGCGCACGGGUGAGUAACGCGUGAGUAACCUACCCUUGCGACUGGGAUAACGUCGGGAAACUGGCGCUAAUACCGGAUAAUGUUCAGGGUCGCAUGGCCUCUGAACCAAAGGGGGCCUCUCCUUAGGAAGCUUCCGCGCAGGGAUGGGCUCGCGUCCCAUUAGCUAGUUGGUAGGGUAACGGCCUACCAAGGCGACGAUGGGUAGCCGGCCUGAGAGGGUGUCCGGCCACACUGGAACUGAAACACGGUCCAGACUCCUACGGGAGGCAGCAGUGAGGAAUCUUGCGCAAUGGGGGAAACCCUGACGCAGCGACGCCGCGUGGGUGAAGAAGCUCUUCGGAGUGUAAAACCCUGUCAGGUGGGAAGAAAGCGUAAUGGAAGACAACGCCGUUACGUCUGACGGUACCACCAGAGGAAGCCCCGGCUAACUCCGUGCCAGCAGCCGCGG